Molecule: long non-coding RNA, 656 nt
Organism: Cyprinodon variegatus (sheepshead minnow)
Lineage: Eukaryota; Metazoa; Chordata; Actinopteri; Cyprinodontiformes; Cyprinodontidae
Exons: 3
Source: RefSeq, a predicted model, not a curated record
UUUCAGCCAUUGGCAAUAUUCCCAGCCAUACUGACCACUGUUUUAGCCUCAAGUUUUAUAGUUCUACUUGUCUUCCUCUGGUUCAUCAUUCAUAAAAGCAAAUGUCAACAUUGCCAAGCUGCUGUUGAGCUGCAAACGCCAUAUGAUCUGAGCAGCCACAAGACAGAAGAAGACAGAAUGCUGUUUUCUGCUGCAGUCUUCACCUUGAUUAAAACUGUUCAGACUGAAACAAAAGCACCAGAAAGACGGAUAUUUGCUGCAGUAGAAGCCUAACCCCUGAGUUAAACAUACCCAACCUCAAUCUUAUUUGUCUGUUUGGUUUUCCUACAAACAUCGGUUUGAAUUGAAUUUAGAUUAAUGAGCACAAAAGUCAUAUAUCUAUAUAGGUCCAGAGCCUUUGACCCUUGUGGGCUAUAUGGCUUUAUGAAGCAGUGGGAGAUCCAGGAUCUAAACAACUCAUGGUAAAAGUUUAAAAUGUUCAAAUGUGUACUGAAUCUAGUUCUUUUACAGAAAAAAAAAAAUAGGAUUCAACAACAGGCAGGAAAACCUUAUUCAACAAUGGAAGCAGAUUAUCCAUGUACAUACUCACUGCAAAGACUAUUUAGAAAUAAGUAAAUAUUUCUUAAAUUAGGUGUAUUUAUCCUUAUUCUAAGUAG